Molecule: ribosomal RNA, 253 nt
Filed under: uncultured bacterium
Lineage: Bacteria
Description: partial 16S ribosomal RNA
Rfam family: Bacterial small subunit ribosomal RNA
Source: RNAcentral
GACAGAGGGUGCAAACGUUGUUCGGAUUUACUGGGCGUAAAGCGCGUGUAGGCGGCUUUGCAAGUCGGAUGUGAAAGCCCACGGCUCAACCGUGGAAGUGCAUCCGAAACUGCAUGGCUGGAGUCUCGGAGAGGAAGGUGGAAUGCUUGGUGUAGAGGUGAAAUUCGUAGAUAUCAGGAGGAACACCGGUGGCGAAGGCGGCUUUCUGGACGACAACUGACGCUGAGACGCGAAAGCGUGGGGAGCAAACAGG